UUUUUGGGUCAAGAUUUUGUGGGUGGAUUGCUAUCCUUAUCCAUCCAUUGAGAGUCCUGUCUGGCUGCAGGAGGCACGUCAACAACCAACUUUGGCAUCUGUGGGGUCUUUCUGACGUCUGUGUGUCCCCGUUUGUGAGAGCUGGAACCUAGGAGUCUUUAGGUGUGGAAGACCUUACCCCUUGGAAGUUGUGGGCUGGGGCUUCUCUAGCAUUUGCCUGGGCGAAGAGGACUGCAUCGUGGAUGCUGGGGAACACGUGAUUGCGCUGUACACACCCAUCUUCAAAGAUGCCUCCCUGGCUGAUGUCAUUGUACACCUGGGCUGUAAGGAGGCAGAUCCAUGAACCUUCUGAUUUGGAAAGGAUCCCAAGUUCAACCAGUCAGCCCCCCCGAUUUACAUGGCUGGACAGGAACCCCCAGAUGGAUAAAGUGACUUGGCUGGCUCGACUCAGGAUACACACAAAUUAGGGGCAUGCUGUGUUCAGAACCAUCAGAAACGCCAUGGGGCUCAGAAACACCAUCGUAAAGAAGCUUAAGAAACUGGACCUACAGCGGAUUUAGGAAAGGUGUUCUGGAAGCCAGCAACUCUCUGUACCAUUCCUUCUGGGAACCAAUGUAGCAGAGCCAAUGGCCGUGCUUAGGCCUCCCAGAUGCCUUUGGGGGCAGAGCCUUGGGUCCCAUGGGCACAGGUGCAGUGGGAAACCUCUGAAAGCAGUGUGGGAAUCCACCAAGUGAGAGCCCCUCCCUGAUUCCAGGUGGCUUUUUCCCCCAAGGCAUUAUGUGUUAGACCGUCUUAGCCCUGAGUCAUCCUUCCAUCUCUUUAAGAUAAAAACAGAAGCUCUGAAGUUUGAUGGAGUCAAUAUAGGGGUGUUUCAGCAAAGCAGUGUUGGAGGUACCCCUGGGGAGGUGAAAUGAAGUUGCUUGGUACACGUUAGGGGCUCAGCAAUUACCUGUUGAAUAAAUGAAAGAAUGAAUUGUCUGUAAGCCCAGCCCAAUGGAUACUUUGUAGAUGUAUUGCUUGUGGGGACUAAGGAAAUGCCCAAGGUCACUCAAGGUGUCAAGGUAUAGCCUGGAUGCAAGAGGCCCAAGUAUGCCUGCCAUUCUGGUGAGGGGAGGACACGUGGGUGAACACUGAGUCUAGGAGCCCUUCCCAUUGGAAUGGCUUCCCAUGCUCCUGCACAGAUAGCGUGUUUCCUUCCUGCAGUAUUUCCUGCCUUGGAGUUAUAAUGUGGAGCACAGCCAGUGGUCAUGAUGUGCUGGGUAAAUCAGUCUUCUAAACUUGCUUACCAUGUGCACGGAUGUCAGUGGGCAGAUACGGGCUUGUUUACUUUUGCAUUCUGACCACCUACCUACAUUCUGGUACUCAUGGAGACUGUGAGUCUUUGAAAUGGGUGAGUGGUAACGGGAGGGAGUCUUUGAACAAAUCAAAGCCUAAGAACAGGAAUCUGUCCGUCCAUGUCCAGCGCUAUCUAGUGCAGUGGGCAGUGAGUCCUGAUCUGCAUUUUGGCCAGGAAAUUCCUAGAAAGCAGGUGAGUCAUCAGGGCUCCUACUAUAACGGAGUGACAGUGGCCAUUCAGAUCAAACAGUGGUCUCUUUGUUGAGCCAUUGUGCCUAUCAGGGAGUUUUUGGCUGUCCUUCUUUUGGGGAGAGAUGUGCUGCCCAGUUGACUGGGGCAACCAGGGUUAUCUCUGGAAGUGUCUCUUCUCUUUUAAGUGACCUAUGGAUAUUCUGGGCCACCAACCGGCCUAGUGUGAGCUUUAUUAUCUGAGUGAGUUCCCUCUGUGCCUGGCCUGGCUUACUAUAGUACCAUUCAACUUUCACACAGGCUAACUGAUUUAAUUCUAGAACCAACCAUGUGGUACCCACUUGCUACUCUCAUGUCUGAACAAGUAAAUGGGAGUUGGUUAAACUGAAAUAAAUUAUCCCAGCUCACAAAGAUCUUUGUGAAAGGGAUGGGAAGUAGAUUUGGCAUCGUCUGUGCGAAGUCAUACCCACCUUUUUUAAUGCAACCAGCCAGGUUUUUGAUCAAGCCCUAAGAUGAUCCGGAUGCAGGUAGCUUGGGGCCUCCAGAAUGACUUGGGAGCCCCUUGGCUCUUUAACUUUUCCAGUUUCAGAAAAACUCUGGUUAGGGAGGCUUUACCUAAUCGGACAAUUGAACUCAGAGGCUCUUUUGAUGUUGAGUCUGAGAUAGAAGGAAGCUGGACCAAAAGUGGGGGGUCAGAGGUGGUACCAGAGGACAAGCUGCCCUGAGGGCUGAAAGGGCGUCUUUGGAACAUAUUAGAUAGAAUAAGCUAUGGGAGCAGCGGGAGAGAUGGCUCAG
RNAcentral lists this small RNA (2319 nucleotides) under Rattus norvegicus (Norway rat). Its description in RNAcentral is "uncharacterized LOC103691878". Lineage: Eukaryota; Metazoa; Chordata; Mammalia; Rodentia; Muridae. The record is from RNAcentral.